RNAcentral lists this ribosomal RNA (253 nucleotides) under uncultured bacterium. RNAcentral's name for it is "partial 16S ribosomal RNA". It matches the Rfam family "Bacterial small subunit ribosomal RNA", at positions 524 to 776 of the family's 1533-position model. The record is from RNAcentral.
UACAGAGGUCUCAAGCGUUGUUCGGAUUCAUUGGGCGUAAAGGGUGCGUAGGCGGCGCGGUAGGUCGGGUGUGAAAUCUCGGAGCUUGACUUCGAAACUGCAUUCGAUACUGCCGUGCUUGAGGACUGGAGAGGAGACUGGAAUUUACGGUGUAGCGGUGAAAUGCGUAGAUAUCGUAAGGAAGACCAGUGGCGAAGGCGGGUCUCUGGGCAGUAACUGACGCUGAGGAGCGAAAGCGUGGGGAGCGAACAGG